This 234-nucleotide ribosomal RNA is filed under the name uncultured bacterium. RNAcentral describes it as "partial 16S ribosomal RNA". It matches the Rfam family "Bacterial small subunit ribosomal RNA", at positions 118 to 347 of the family's 1533-position model. The record is from RNAcentral.
UGAGUAACCUGCCCUUAACUCUGGGAUAAGCCUGGGAAACUGGGUCUAAUACCGGAUAUUCACUGCCUGUCGCAUGGUGGGGGGUGGAAAGCUUUAUUGUGGUUUUGGAUGGACUCGCGGCCUAUCAGCUUGUUGGUGAGGUAAUGGCUCACCAAGGCGACGACGGGUAGCCGGCCUGAGAGGGUGACCGGCCACACUGGGACUGAGACACGGCCCAGACUCCUACGGGAGCAG